Molecule: ribosomal RNA, 153 nt
Filed under: uncultured bacterium
Lineage: Bacteria
Description: partial 16S ribosomal RNA
Rfam family: Bacterial small subunit ribosomal RNA
Source: RNAcentral
UGGGGAAUAUUGCGCAAUGGCCGAAAGGCUGACGCAGCGACGCCGCGUGGAGGAUGAAGUCCGUUAGGAUGUAAACUCCUUUUGCAGGGGAUGAAUAUGGCGCUACAGGCGCCAUUGACCGUACCCUGCGAAUAAGGGUCGGCCAGCUACGUG